AGUGCCAUAACUUGAUGCAGGAGAAGUGUGCCAGCCAGAUGACUUUGCCAGCCAGCAUGCUGCCAAAGACUUCACAAAAUGUCUCUCUUAUUGGAAAGAAAAGCGUUUGGAUGUCUCUCUGCACGUGUUCGACGCGCCAUUUCUGAAAGGAUACAAGCCAAAGAAAGCUUUGCAGCUUCCACUUGGGUCUCCUGGAACACUCACUCUGGGAGAAGACAGCUGUCACGUAAGAAGCCUGACUACCCUGAGAUCACUUUGCUUUGAGGAAGCUCAAGCUGCCACCUGAAGAGGCUGUGUGGAGAGAGAAAUGCCUGAUAAGCCCCUAGCUGUUUCAGGCAUCUCAGCUGAUAAGCCAGACAUGUGACUAAGGAAGCCAUCUUGGACAUCCAGCUGAGGUGAGGCUUCUGAUGACUCCAUCCAUCUGACUGUAACCACCCGAGAGAAUGCAACAUCACCUAACUGAGCUCAGUCAACCUAUAGGACCAUGAGAGAUAAUAAUAAUUUUUUUAAACUACUAUAUUUUAGUGUAGUUUGUUACACAGCAAUAGAUAUAACCCAAACACUUCAGAUUGAGAGAGAGAGAUUGAGAGAGAGAGAGAGAGAGAGAGAGAGAGAGAGAGAGAGAGAGAAAGUUGAACAUGAAAUGCAAUUGCACUAACCUGACUCCCUUCUUUUUUUCUCACCUCAGAUAGUGUCUAUGAGCAAAUCUCAUAAUCUCUAUUUUAUUUUUUCUUUUUCACUUUUCAGAUUUUUUAAAGUUUUUAAAAUUGAAGUAUAGCUAAUUUAGAAUGUUUUGUUAGUUUCAGGUGUACAGCAAUGUGAUUCAGUUAUAUAGGUUGUUGGAAGCACUUUUGAUAAGGCCUGAACCUCCAAUAUUUUCUAAGGGAACUUAGACACUAGUGAUGUGAUGAACAUGCAAGUGAAGACAGAAACAGAAUGGCCUUAGGGGCUGCAUCAGUUGGGGACAUACUCUAUGGAGCUAUGAAGUAGGAGAGAACCUGGAAGUCAUUCAAUGCAACAGGAGAAUUGUCAGCCCUUGGGGCCCCUUUCUUUGUUCAUUAUUGAGUACCUAGACAUCUAAAAUGUGUAAAUAACUGGAAAUGGACAAAAAUGUCCAGACAGGUUAUUUCGAGUAAUGAAGAGAUGAUGUUAUCAAAGAAGAUUAAAGGUUCUAAAUUAGGGGAGCCUAGCUGAACAAUGGUUAAGGAAUGGCAGCAUAUGAGGAUGUCAGUGCCAAAGAGAAAGGUGUAUCUUAGUCACUUGCAGCUUUGGGUUAGAGCCUAUGAGGGAGGAGGAAGAAGGGGGACAGAGAGCAGUGGAGUCAAGACGAAGAGACAGGCUUAGGAUGUAUAAAUAGUAGGAUUUUUAGGUUAAAAUCUCUUCAGUCAACCACAGCCAUUGCAAUUUAAGCAGGCAAAUUUUGAUAUAGCAGAAAAAGUACCAACAUGCCUAUUGGGAGGUCUUUGUCCUGCUACCAACAGGCAGUAUAGACUUGGCAAGUACCUUGCCUUCUCUGGGUCUCAGGAAGGCAUGUUGUACUUAUAAAAGACUCUACAUAGUUUUAUAUCAAUUAUAAUAAAAUGAGCAGUAGCACUUUAUGCAAUCUAAGCUCCUUUUCAACUAUAAAAACCUUAUGGUUCUAAACUGUAGAAAUAGGAGACAGUUUUAGAAUUUAAAAAUUAAGUAAUUAGGCUUAUAGGCUGGAGAUACGUAUAAAAAGCUUUGAUUGAGAUUUUGUGUAAUACAUAAUGGAAAAUGUUUAGGUAAGGGUAAGGAUCUUUAUUUUAUUUCUUGAUAUAUCCCAAGUACCUAGAACAAUGCCAACAUGUAGCAGAUGCUAAUAAACAUAUUUGUGGAUUGACUGAAUGAGCUAUUCCUGGGAAAUCAAGGACAAAAAUGGCCUAAAAAGCAGACACAUCAACUAUAAGUCUGUCCUUAUCUCUUAUUUUUAUGAAAUUUUCUCACUUAGUUCUAUUGCUUGGCAAACACUGAUAUACAAAUUUCUAAACAAUAUUUAGUCUUGCUUCUCUUCUUUAUUUUAAAGAUAAAUAGGGAGACAUGUAUUUUUCCAACUAAUGUUAACUCACUAGUUUAUAAUUUUUUUAUUUUUACAUUUUUAAUUAAGAAAAAUCUCAAGCACAUAAACAGAAUACCCACCACCCCGAUUCAGCAAUUAUCAACAUUCUAUGAUUUUAGUUUUAUUUAUACCUCCAUCAUUUCUUACUCCCACUGGAUUAUAUGUGAUUAUUUUUUAAAAUAGAUUUUCCUCCAUCUAAUAAAACAAAAUUUAGCAUUCUAGUUAUCUUGUCCUAGUGUGCUCAUUUAUAGGUGUUUCAAUUUCCCAAUUUUUUAGUAUAUUACUGAGUUGCAUAGAACUUCUUUAGGGUGCUAUUUCUUCUGACUCUGGAUUCAGUAAAAUUGCAACCAUUUUAGAAAAGCUCUCUGUGGAUGAGCCCCCUUGUACACAGGGUUUCAGAGUUGUUCUGUUCAGAUGUCUUGGUUACAAACAUUAGAACUCACCAUAGCUGGUUCAGCAGAAAACAUAUCUAACAGAUUUGAGAAGGCUCAAUAGACCCCCGGAGAGGAUUAGAGACCCAGGCUUGAAGAUAUGUGGGCAGGAACAACACUCAAAUGGCAUUUCAGGAUGGGGAUCCAGAAAAGGAUCCAUCAUUGCUGUCACUGGGCGCAGACACCACAGAUUGCCCCAUUGAUCCCGGGCAAUGGAAGCUGAACUGCUGUCAUCGUUGUCCCUGAAAGCCAUUGCCUCUGCCAUCACCUUCAGAGAAUGGUCUCCACCGUGUCUGCUUCCUCAUGUUUGUCUCUUUUAAACUGAAAUCUCAUUAAGUGCACUUCAUUGGCUGAGUCUAUUCAUUGGCUGAAGUGUUUAUGCCCUAGCUUCCAGGAAGGCUGGGCGAGUGAGUUUCUGGAUUCUAGGUUUGGAAAACCAGACUCAUAAGGUGGGCCAUUCCCCAAAUUUAGAUGUUCAAAUGUUCUGGAUGGCCACAAAUUAUGACAUGUGUUUAUUAAAGUAUCUUUAAAUCCAAAAUGGUCUUUGAAGGAAUUCCUAGACCGUAUGAAAGGGAUAAUACAGUUGAUUGACCUACAUGCAAGAAACAAUGUGUUCAUUUCUUCUCGGAGAGGAGAGGGAUCCUUAUUCUUUUAGCUUUAAAAAAGCCUACCUGGGAAAAGAAUCUACAAAAGAGGGGAUAUAUGUAUAUGUAUAACUGAUUUACUUUGCUGUACACCUGAAACUAACACAACAUUGUAUAUCAACUAUACUCCAAUAAAAAAUUGUUUUUAAAAAGUCA
Long non-coding RNA from Orcinus orca (killer whale), 3308 nucleotides. RefSeq lists it as uncharacterized. The record is from RefSeq and is a predicted model, not a curated record. The transcript is spliced from 2 exons. Lineage: Eukaryota; Metazoa; Chordata; Mammalia; Artiodactyla; Delphinidae.